RNAcentral lists this ribosomal RNA (498 nucleotides) under uncultured Glomeromycotina. RNAcentral describes it as "partial small subunit ribosomal RNA". It matches the Rfam family "Eukaryotic small subunit ribosomal RNA", at positions 591 to 1092 of the family's 1831-position model. Lineage: Eukaryota; Fungi; Glomeromycota. The record is from RNAcentral.
CCAAUAGCGUAUAUUAAAGUUGUUGCAGUUAAAAAGCUCGUAGUUGAAUUUCGGGGUUAGUACGCUGGUCAUGCCUUUGGUAUGUACUGGUGUUACCGAUUCCUACCUUCUGAAGAACCGUCAUGUCAUUAAUUUGGUGUGGCGGGGAAUCAGGACUGUUUCUUUGAAAAAAUUAGAGUGUUUAAAGCAGGCUCGCGCUUGAAUACAUUAGCAUGGAAUAAUGAAAUAGGACGUUCGAUCCUAUUUUGUUGGUUUCUAAGAUUGACGUAAUGAUUAAUAGGGAUAGUUGGGGGCAUUAGUAUUCAAUUGUCAGAGGUGAAAUUCUUGGAUUUAUUGAAGACUAACUACUGCGAAAGCAUUUGCCAAGGAUGUUUUCAUUAAUCAAGAACGAAAGUUAGGGGAUCGAAGGCGAUCAGAUACCGUCGUAGUCUUAACCAUAAACUAUGCCGACUAGGGAUCGGAUGAUGUUAUUUUUAAUGACUCAUUCGGCGCCUUACG